Non-coding RNA from Podarcis lilfordi (Lilford's wall lizard), 7362 nucleotides. The record is from the annotation of a GenBank genome assembly. Lineage: Eukaryota; Metazoa; Chordata; Lepidosauria; Squamata; Lacertidae.
AGCAGAUAUACAAAAUAUAAAACAAAACAGUAAAACCUGCAAGAAGUUAUCCACAUAAUGGAAAUACCAGCCUGCCCUAUAAUUUUAACAGCACCCUAUAAUAUUAACACAUCAGUCCCUUGGUGACUUAAGAAAUUCUUUUGAUCCAAACUGAUGUUCUGGGAUCCUUAAUUUCGAUGGAAUAUGAAUACACAGUGCUUUUUUUCUUUUUAAAAAAAUGUUUAGGGGUUGUGGUGUUCGUACAGAGUCCCCGAUCGUCUCACGGACUAUUGACCCAUACACCACUAAUCUGCUGCCACCAACCAGGUCCUUCCCUGGUCCUCCUCAGUCACGUUCUUAAGUUAACAAAGAAGAGUGUAGUUUAUUGCAAACACCAAUAAACUUUAAAUGCAUUCAAAAUGUUGUUACUCUUUACUUUCUUAGUCUUAUUUUAUCCUGCCUCUAACUCUUCUACCUCCCCUCACACAAGAACCAACUGCACUAAUUGUCUCUCUAUUUCCAACUGUCUGCCAACUGCUUUCCCAACUGCCUUUCCCAACCAACUACCCAACUACCCACAACCCAAACCUCGGGCUAAGCCCUUUUAUAAACAGGUAAGCUCCGCCUCUGGCUUUUCUAUUAGUCUACCUAUUAACUCUUUCUCUCCCCCUGUACAGACAUUUUCAAAGGAAUGGGCAAACGCCACAGGGCUACUCUCAUUUUCCUACUCAUAUUGAAAUACUGCCCCUCAAUGAGGUCAAACUUAGAUUCACAAAAUGUUUUGGGGUAUGCGUACCUCUGUGUACCCUCCAGAAAAUAAAACACUGUGAAUAUGGUUCUUAGAAGCCUUUAUAGUGGUUUGAAUGCUGGGCCACUUGGAUUAGAAAAAUGCAUGUUCACUCAUCCUCUGGCUGGCUCUUAGUAUAGCCUACCUCACAGGGCAGCUGUUAGGUUAAAAUGGAGGGAGAAAUACAUACAUGGCCUUGAGCUCAUUGGAAGAAAGUUGUGAUAUAUAUGUAAUAAAAUUAUUAUUUUUUUUAAAAACCAUCAAAAGCAAAAUCUACAAAUCAUCAUCAUUAUUAAGAAUAAUAAUUUUAUUUUUGUGCUGCCCUUCCUUUCAUUUCAGAGACCAGGGCAAUGUAUAACACCAUUAAAAAAAUUCAGUCAUUUCAAAAACCAUUUACAUUAAAAACAUUAUUUUUUAAAAAAACCACCCCACUUUCCCUCCUGGUGAAAAAGAAAGAUAAUUAACUUGACGCCAUUAUAAUUCCAUCCCUCAUAACACCUCAUUAAAAUGCAAACACUUACGUUAAUGUUCCACAGACACAAGGCAGAAUGCAAACCUCGUGCUUUUUUCCUCUGAGAGACUGAACAGAAAACUCCUACAUGUACAAAGAGGCAUACGGUAAAUUAAAAGAAGCUAAGAACAAACAAGACAGACACUGCUUUUUGGAAACUUUUCCGUUUUUACUGAAUUCAGCCUACAUAGAGAGACAGACAGGGUAGUAUUUCGCUCUCCCAUUUUCACAGCAGCCGCCUUUGCAGUGUUUGUGUUCUUUUUACAUAUCUGCAUGUUGAGAAGGAAUUGGAGCCUGUAAUUUAGACAGUACAGCAGCCACCAGAGCAGAUUCCAAACAGCAGUGCUAGAUUAUUCAAUAGGCAAACGAAGCAUGUGUUUAGGGCACCAGCAAAGCAGGGGCACUUUUGGGGGGGGAGGUCUGUUUAAAGAAUUUAACAUUUGAUUAUUAUUUUUCUUUAAGCAUCAAAGUAGCUAUCAUGUUAAAAUCAGAACUUUGUUAGGCUUUCUUACCAUCCAUAACACACUCCUCUUCUUUCUUUCUGUUAUUUAUUAUAUAUUACAUAUGGGGGCCACCAUAAUCUUUUCAGUGCUUAGGGCCUCUAAAGGUCUUAAUGCAGUUCUGUGAAGCAGAGUUUGUAAUAGAACACAUGAGCUACUGGCAGGAGGAAUGUAUGUGAUGUCGAUAAAUAGAAGAGGAGUGCCCAAAGAGGGGCAGCUUAGUUAGUGCUUUCCCGGCUUAGGGAAGGAAAUAGGAGAGGUCUAGGACCUUGCCAGAGCCUCACCCCUCCUUCCCAAAGUUGGGUGCCUCCUUAUCCGUCUUCGGAAAGGCAGUGUGAAGACUGAGGGAGGGGGUGCCCAAAUUCGCCACUGCCCCAAAGUUAAAAACUCACUUGCCAUUUCUUCUCAAAAAGAGAGAGGGGUUUGGAAAAAUGAACCCUACUGUGGCAAUCUCAUGAUGUUCCCGAUAAACUUGAAACCUAGGUUCUUACUUUCACAACAGGAGCUCCAAGAUUGACAGUGCAGGGAACAGGAGCAAUAGGCAGGAGCUGACACUUGUCUAAAAGCAAUUUAAAAGAUGUAAUUGUUAGGAUAUUUCCGUUCCACCUUAAAAGGGAGCAGGAUGUUUGUGUCACAGCCUGCGUAUUUCCUGUUCACAGGAUGUUUCUGUUGUGUCUAUGCUUUCGUUUCUCUCUCUGUGCCUGAGACACCAAAGCAGGCAGUCAUGUUUUCUUUGUUCUGACCAACGCUGAAUAAAACUGUAAAUAAUGCUCUCCUGCGUGCAUCUUUCGCUGUGCAUUAUCUGCUGAUAGAGCGUGCACCAGCUCUGGAAUGUGGCAAGCUAUUUCUGGAGCUCGUGUCGCUAAUUGGAUGAUACUGCGUGUCUACGGGAGGUCGAUGGAUCGCAACGGAGACGACGUGGGGUCGUGAUGGACUCUGUCUCCCUGGCAGUAUCCCAACACAGGUAAUAAACGCUGAGGCUUCGGCAAGUGAAAGAUCACCUACAUAGGCAGAUUGUACAUUCACUCACCCCUAUGGAGCUAGGUCUCCAUGUUAGAAGCAUAAAACAAAGCAGGCCAUGCCAGAUGGGCAAUAUUCUCUUCCAUCAUCCCUGAUGGUGAUACUAGCUGCAUCAUGAGAGUCCAACCACACAGGGAGAUCUAUCUGUCCUUCUUUUUGGUCAAUUAAGAACUUCUUUAGAGACCCUUCUCCUGCAGGUAGCUAGCUAUUGGAGAGAGGCAUCUUUCUGCGGCAGUGCCCAAACUGUGUUGGCCCCUCCGCAGGCAAGUUCACCUUCCACCUUCCUUAUUAUUUGUUUGGUGCCAGUCGGCCCUGUUCUCCCAAGCUUUUAAUAGCAGAUGGUGUCUUCUGUAACAACAACUCAUCUUUUCAGCUUGAGUUGGGUGCUAUUUUUAUUUAGUGGCUGAUCAUUGCCUUUCAAUCGUCUGCUUUAAUAUUGUUUUUACAAUCUUUAUCGUAUUGUAAUAUCAUCUGUUUUGCGGCUUAUGGGAAAGUUGGGUUAUAAAUCCCUUAAAUAAAAUAAACAAUAAAAUAAAUAAACUGAGCAGGCAUGUAAAGAUAAAACUGAAGGCCAAGAGAACAAAGAAGUCAAGGUUUAGAGAAGAGGUAGGCAACAUUAUGUCUUCCAGUUGUUGUUGGACUCCAAAUCCCAUCAGCUCCACCCAGCAUGGCGGGUGGUCAGGGAUGAAAGGAGUUGGAGUUUGACGGGCACCAGGUUUGCUUUCUCUGACGUAGAGGAAUCCAAUAUUCUGCAGAGCAAAAUCUGGCAAGCAUUUCUGGUGACAUGGCAGGACCAAGGAUUGCCUAACCUGGAGCCAGAUGACAUGGCAGUGGAACAAGUCCCCUAACUAACCAAACCUUAGCUAAAAUCCCACUGAAAGGAGAUCUCCACUGAGAUCUAAUAUUUCCUUCCAUUUUCAGUUGGACAAAGAUUGUUCCGUUGUUUUAGGCUUUCAAAACCAAAGCAUGAGCAGGGUUCCAAAUUAUAAUAUUUCAAGGACUCACAAAGAAGGAAUGAAUCUGUGUGGUAAAAGACUUUUUUAAGCCUGUUUUUUAGAACACAAACUGAUCAAAGCUUCAUGGACUAUAUAACAGAUAAACACACCCACCCUUCUGUAGGUGGUGUCAAGGACAAUAAUUGUCAGUUCUAGAGUUGUAUCAUAGAUAAGAACUACCUAACAAUUAAUCUAAGCGUGGGCAUGGCUAAUAAUACUUUUUUGUUCCUGUGAAUACUUCUUUGCUUUUAGCAACAUUACAGAACUUGCUUGCCAUGCGACCAGAUGUUCCACUUCUGAAAGAGGGAAAAUAACUAUAUGGUGCAAUCUACACACAUAUAAAAAGUGUUCUGAAAAUGCUUUUUUUUAAAAGCGUUUUUAAAAAUACAUUAAAUUUUCCAUAAGGCUCACCAUUGCCAUCUAGUGUCACAUUGUAUAUUGCACCUAAAACACCCUUAAAACGAUUUGUUUACAGCUGUACCUUGGGUUACAAACACCUCAGGUUAUAAACACUUUGGGUUACAAACUCCGCUAACCUGGAAGUAGUACCUUGGGUUAAUAACUUUGCCCCAGGAUGAGAACAGAAAUUGCGCGGUGAUGGCACGGGAGCAGCGGGAGGCCCCGUUAGCUAAAGUGGUACCUCAGGUUAAGAACCGUUUCAGGUUAAGAACGGAUCUCCAGAACGAAUUAAGUUCAUAACCUGAGAUACCACUGUAUAGCCAAGUCCUUUCAUUCCAAAAGAACAAACAGAAAAAAUAGUGUACCAAACAACUUCUUCUUAAAAAACUAAACAAAAAAAAAAAAACAACCCUUGAAAACCAGACAAACUUGAAAUGCUCAAUUAUUUCAACUACAUUUUUUUUUUUUUUAGAGGGAGUGCUUUCUCUGAGCUCCCCUGCCAAUGUUUCAGUUGUAAAUUGCCUGGAUAUAUCAAAACAAUAUUUGAUUUGCUGUCACAUAAAGUAGGUUUUGCCAAGUAAGGUUUACCAAACGUACGAAAAUUAUAUGCAUGGUGCCAUAUGACUAGCUCAGGAUGAACCUAGCGUAUGGUGUUUUUUUAAAUAAAAAACAACAACCUGUGUGGUUUGCUUGCAUAUUAAUUGUAAUUACUGGAAAAAUGCAGAUUGGGGACUAAUUUACAUGUUUAGAAUAUUAUUAGUAUAAUUUAUUUAUAUCCUGCCUUUUUCCUUGAAAAGGUCUAAAGGCAGCUUACCGAUAAAAUAGAAACAGCAAAAACAUAGUAGGGGGAUCAUUAAAACAAUUGAGCAUUAAUAGAAUUAAAGCUAUCUAAUAAAACAUACAGAUAAUUACAAUGAAAACAUCACAGCAUGAGCACAUUAGUUCCCAAAAGCCUGUUGGAAUGAGAAAGUCUUCACCUGGCAGCAGGACAAUAAGGAGGGAGCCAGUCUAACUUCUCUAGGAAUAAAAAGCACAUGAUUCAGCACUUCUGGCACUUUGCCACUUCACUGAUAGGGGGUUGUAUUUUAAAUGUUCGGCCCUAACUCCCUCCAUACAGAAAGCUAGCAUCUUUUGAGGGAAAGCUAGACUAAACUACUUCUGUCUGACCAGAAUGUUGUGACAUGGAGAGAAUAAUACAGUGGAACCUCUGGUUACGAACAUAAUUCGUUCUGGAGGUCCGUUCUUAACCUGAAACUGUUCUUAACCUGAGGUACCACUUUAGCUAAUGCGGCCUGCUGCUGCCGCCGUGCCGCCCCCACACAAUUUCUGUUCUCAUCCUGAGGUAAAGUUCUUAACCCGAGAUACUACUUCCGGGUUAGAGGAGUCUGUAACCUGAAGUGUCUGUAACCCGAGGUGUCUGUAACCCGAGGUACCAUUGUAAUCCUACUUUCUCACAGAAGUAUGUGAACCUCUGCACCACCACUGCAACAGGAAAGAGGAACGUUUGUACCAAUAACUGUGAAUCACUUUUGCACCAGGAUCCACCUGCCUAGACCUGGAAAAAUCUAAGCAUGAUGGGUAAAGUGGCCAAGAUCUCCAGGUUUGCCCAUGCAUAGGAGCUGCCUUUGCAAUAGAGGUAUGUCAAGCUGCAAUGGGCAGAAGAGGAGUUAUGAAGCGUGAGCUGCAGGAAAUGCAAUAACUUUAAACUUAGGACAUCUUUCACAAGUAAUUUUACCACUGACCCAGAAUGAACAUGCUGAGCAUUUUAAUCACAUAUCUUCACUGUUCACAAUUACUGGGCCAUUAUUUAUAUUUUCCAGCUUCUGAAAAGGUCAAGUUCAAGGACCCCUGGAUAGUUAAGUCCAGUCAAAGGCGACUGUGGAGUGCGACGCUCAUCUCACUUCAGGCUGAGGGAGCCGGCAUUUGUCCACAGACAGCUUUCCGGGUCAUGUGGCCAGCAUGACUAAGCCGCUUCUGGUGCAACAGAACACCAUGACGGAAGCCAGAGCACACGGAAACGCUGUUCAUCUUCCCACUGCAGUGGUACCUACGUAUUUAUCUACUUGCACUGGUGUGCUUUCGAACUGCUAGGUUGGCAGAAGCUGGGACAGUGGUCCCACUCAUCCCAGUAAUGCCUUCAUGUUUCCGAAUUGAUUCUGGAGGUGUAUUUCUGGGUGCAGUAAGCCAGCCAUAUGAAUGCAUUUAUCCCCCACUAAUAUAUUCAUUAAACUCUGUCAUUCAACUGGCUGAGCGAGUUUUCCAAAGCACUACAAAAAGGUAUGGUUAUUGAAAACAGAUCUCUCAGAAAAAAGAGGUGCUUUGCAUUGCUUUUCUUUUUUUAAUGCAACACUAAACAGGCCCCCCUCCAUGGUAACUAGUAAGAGCUGCCCUGCUACAUCAGACCAGAGGGCUAUCUAGUUCAGCAUCCUGUGUUUCACAGUAGUCAAACUGGUAUUUACAGAAAGCCCACAAGCAGGUCACGAGGACAAUAGCACUCUCCCAUUGUUGUUCCCUAGCAACUGGUAUUCAAGAGAGAUCUAGGAGGUAGCAUAUAGCCAUCAAGACUGGUAGCUGUUGAGAGUUUUUAUCUUCCAUGAAUUUGUCUAGUCUCAUUUUAGCCCACCUAAGCUGCUGGCCAUCACUAUAUCUUACAGCAGCAAAUUCCAUCAUUUAAGUAUGUGUGCAUAUGUGUGUUUGUGUGGAAAAGUACUUCCUUUUGCUGUCCUUAUCUCCUUAACCAUUCUAUUGAUGACCUUAUGGCAUACCAAGCAGCUUAUAUCAAUCUCAACAUUUCCAAAGCAUGAACCACACACCUAAGUGCCUACACCUUGCUAAUAUAAUGAAGUAUGCUGAGUGUCAGUUACGGUCUUCAAAUAAAAACAUCUUGAAGGUCCCAGGCCACAGAGAAGUUAGGCUGGCCUCAACUAGAGCCAGGGCUUUUUUGGCUGUGGCUCCGAUCUGGUGGAACACUCUGUCACAAGAGACCAGGGCCCUGCGGGACUUGACAUCUUUCCGCAGGGCCUGCAACACAGAGCUGUUCCACCAGGCCUUUGGCCAGGGCACAGCCUGACUCCCUCCCUCGGCAAUCUUCGCGGAGCUCUGGCCCAAUGGUUGCCAGUGGCUUGAAUUAAUAAAUUUUAUAAUGAAUGAUUUUAGAGUGUUGUUUAUGCU